Molecule: small RNA, 614 nt
Filed under: Pan troglodytes (chimpanzee)
Lineage: Eukaryota; Metazoa; Chordata; Mammalia; Primates; Hominidae
Description: retained intron
Source: RNAcentral
CAGAAACUGAUUUCUUGAUCAUUCGGACAAGACAGGGUUACUAUAUUCGGGAAUUAGUGGAUAUUUUUGUGGUUGGCCAGCAGUGUCCCUUGUUUGAAGUUCCUGGGCCUAACUCCAAAAGGGCCAAUACGCAUAUUCGAGACUUUCUACAGGUUUUUAUUUACCGCCUUUUCUGGAAAAGUAAAGAUCGGCCACGGAGGAUACGAAUGGAAGAUAUAAAAAAAGCCUUUCCUUCCCAUUCAGAAAGCAGCAUCCGGAAGAGGCUAAAGCUCUGCGCUGACUUCAAACGCACAGGGAUGGACUCAAACUGGUGGGUGCUUAAGUCUGAUUUUCGUUUACCAACGGAAGAAGAGAUCAGAGCUAUGGUGUCACCAGAGCAGUGCUGUGCUUAUUAUAGCAUGAUAGCUGCAGAGCAACGACUGAAGGAUGCUGGCUAUGGUGAGAAAUCCUUUUUUGCUCCAGAAGAAGAAAAUGAGGAAGAUUUCCAGAUGAAGAUUGAUGAUGAAGUAAGGCUUUAUACUAGUUUGUAUUAGUCAUUAAUACAUCUCAUUUAUCCUUUUAAAAGAGACAGCUUUAUUGAGAUAACAUAAAAUAAACUGUACACAUUUAAAGUA